Molecule: unclassified non-coding RNA, 391 nt
Filed under: soil metagenome
Description: partial contains 5.8S ribosomal RNA, internal transcribed spacer 2, and large subunit ribosomal RNA
Rfam family: 5.8S ribosomal RNA (bases 1-122)
Source: RNAcentral
GAUGAAGAACGUAGCGAAAUGCGAUACUUGGUGUGAAUUGAAGAAUCCCGUGAACCAUCGAGUCUUUGAACGCAAGUUGCGCCCGAAGCCACUAGGCCGAGGGCACGCCUGCCUGGGCGUCACACGCCGUUGCCCCCCCAUCUACUCCUUCGGGAUUGCGGGGGGGCGGAUGAUGGCCUCCCGUGCGCCUAGCCGCGCGGUUGGCAUAAAUACCAAGUCCUCGGCGACGCACGCCACGACAAUCGGUGGUUGCGAAACCUCGGUUGCCCGUCGUGUGCGUUCGUCGCGCAUCGAGGGCUCGAAAAAAUGCUCGGCUCCGGCUGGGCUUUCAACGCGACCCCAGGUCAGGCGGGGUUACCCGCUGAAUUUAAGCAUAUCAAUAAGCGGAGGA